RNAcentral lists this ribosomal RNA (253 nucleotides) under uncultured bacterium. RNAcentral describes it as "partial 16S ribosomal RNA". It matches the Rfam family "Bacterial small subunit ribosomal RNA", at positions 524 to 776 of the family's 1533-position model. The record is from RNAcentral.
UACGAAGGGUGCAAACGUUGCUCGGAAUCAUUGGGCGUAAAGCGCACGUAGGCGGCCCCGUAAGUCGGAUGUGAAAUCCCUCGGCUCAACCGAGGACGUGCAUUCGAAACUGUGGGGCUCGAGUAUGGAAGAGGGUCGCAGAAUUCCCGGUGUAGAGGUGAAAUUCGUAGAUAUCGGGAGGAAUACCAGUGGCGAAGGCGGCGACCUGGGCCAAUACUGACGCUGAGGUGCGAAAGCGUGGGGAGCAAACAGG